This 6348-nucleotide long non-coding RNA is filed under the name Cucumis sativus (cucumber). RNAcentral describes it as "long non-coding RNA (CSAT_LNC000083)". The record is from RNAcentral. Lineage: Eukaryota; Viridiplantae; Streptophyta; Magnoliopsida; Cucurbitales; Cucurbitaceae.
CCUGGAAUUUGUUUAGAACAAACAAAAGGACUUCCAAUUACUAAAGAUACACUAAGACAACAAUAGUAACUUAUGGCAUUUUAUGGUCAUAUUCUUAUCUUGUCAAAAACUGGGAGUAAAUUAGUCACCUGGUAAGCCUUGUACUUGAUCAAUUCUUUUAAUCUAUCAACGAUGUAGAGUAAUCCAUCAGAAUCAAAGUAACAAAGGUCACCAGUCUUUAGCCAUCCCUCAGGAUGCAAGGUUUCAGCAGUUGCCCUUUCAUCUCCAACAUAACCUGCAUCAAACACCAUUUCAUAUGUUCAUCACACAAUAAACAACAUCAUGAUUAAUGCCUUGUAGCAAAACAUCCUAUUCUCAAACAGAGCUCUCUAAUGAAGAGAGGAAUGGGGACAAAUUCAGUAUUAUACAAUUAAUAAUUUAUAAUACUUCACUUGCUAGAUUUCAUCCUCAUACUGAAGUAUAGAAGAAAACACAUAUAGAAGAGAAUAUUGCAAACCUUUCAUGAUUCCUGGACCUCGUAUCCAAAGCUCUCCUUUGUGGCCAGGAGGUAAAGCUUCUCCAGAUGAAGGAUCGACUAUUUUGGCUUCCAUAUUUUCCGAUAGGCGACCGACGGAACCUGCUGUACUGCAUUCUUCAGGCCCCACAGUUUUUGCUGCUCCUCCUGAACUCUCUGUCAAUCCAUAUCCCUAUUCAACAAAACCACGCAUCAUUCUUUGUUAUCAUUUUACUUCUUUUUAACUUCAAAUAGAUUUUAAGUCCUUCCUUAACUAUCUUAUAACCAUCCUAGGAUAUUGGAUUGAUUAGAAUUGUGUUAAAUAAUAUAAUAUUAAAUUUGUUUUUAACAAUGAACUUCAUCCUUUGGGUUGGUGACUUAAAGAAAGUAUUAAAACACAUGGUCGAUCAUGAGUUCAAGCACCAUUGAAUCAAGUUUUUAGGCCAAUCAGUCAUUUAAGAAAUUGCAUACUUGAACUUUGAACUUUGGUGUGAAGUUACAAAUUUUGGUUAAAAUUUUUGCCUAUCUGAACUUAAUUGUGAGAAUUUCACAAGCUUUAGAAGUAUGCUCAUAGCAACAAAACUCAUGGAAUCAGAACACUUAAGUGGAAAAGUUUGAAUUGAUAAUUUGGUAUGAACUUACAAAAUAGAGAACUGAUUACAAACUAGGAAUUGACAGAAUGUUAUGUUCAUCGCAUUUAUAUGAUAUGAGAAAGCAAAGAACAUUGUAACGAGUAACUAAGAAGGGAAAGUGUCUGUUACUAACCUGAAUAAUUUCUACGUUGGGGAACUUUACAUGGAAUUUAUCGAUGACUUCUUUACCAAGAGGAGCACCGCCGCAUGCCAAAAUUUGAAGAGAACUGAGAUCAUACUUCGCUGCCAGCUCCGAUUUGGCCAUGGCCACAAUCAGUGGCGGAGAGACCGGAAUGUAUGUAAUCCUAUACUUCUCCACUGCUCUUAACAUCUUCUCGAAAUCGAACUUACGCAUCAAAACCAACGUAUGGUUCUCUGAAAUCGAUCGAAAUAACAUAAAGAACCCGAAAACAUGAAACAGAGGUAACAGAGAAAGAGCAACGGGAUGUGUCUCAAUCUCUCCAUCGACGGGCGUUUUAUCUAAUACUCGAACCCCAUUGAUCGCCGAUAUGAGGUUCCGGUGAGAGAUUAAAACGCCUUUCACUCGCCCGGUAGUCCCUGAAGAGAAUAGAAUCGCCGCAGAGUCGUUUUGAUUGAUUUUUAGAUCGAAAAUUCCAUCGUUUACUCCAUCCGAUGGUUUACUUUCAUUCAUCAAAGAAAGAAACUCCGGUGAAUCUAUCAAUACAGUGCCAAGUGGAAGCCUCGGGAUCUUAGACGCCGUUGAGGAAGUAGCGAAGGCAAUGGCUGGUUUACAGAGACUAACCUGGUGAACAAUCUCCGACUCGGAACUGAUAGGAUUAGCCGGAGAGACAACAACACCGAGAGAUAAUAAAACGAAAUACAACACAGGGAUUUGCAGAGAAGUGGGUGAAAGAAUAAACGCCACUUGACCAUUAGAGAAGGAAUAAAGAGCUUUAAGGUUAGAGGUGAGGUUUCGAAUUUGAUGGAGGAAAAGAGCGUAAGAGACACUGAGGCCAGAGUCGGAGUCGAUGAGAACAGCACUGUUGGGCGGAGGAGAAGAUGAUCGGAGAACAGAAAGGACAUGCUCAGCAAUGGUAAGUGGCUGAGAUAACGGGGGAAGCGAUAACGGUGGUCGGAGACUGUUGUAAAUCUUGGUUUGAGAACAGAAACCGCUCCGAGGAUCAACAGAAUGGGUAGCCAUUUAAGCGAAAUGUUUGAUAAUGAGUUACAAUAUGUAUCAUUUAAAGAAAAAGUAUAAACCAUGCACAUUAAUCCUUCCAGUUAUUUGAUGAAGAGUUUAUUUAAGAAAAAAUGUUCGAUUCCAAAGUGAAAGUGAAAAGUGGAAAAGAUUAAAAGUUAUUUUAUAAUAUUUCAAAGUAUUCUAUAAGAUAUAAUGUAUUAAAAAAUAAUUUUACAAUCAACCUUAAAUUCUUGAAUCAUACCAAAACUUUGUUUUUAAGCAAGAUGCUACUUUCAUUUUAAAAAUAUAACUUUUUUUAUUAGGAAGAAUUGUAUUCGUUAAAGAAAACGUGAAACUUCUAUUGGAGGGAAGAUUUUAAUAUAUGCACAUGAGAUAAAUUUUUCUAAAUCAAAUUAAAAAUUAUUUUUUAAAAUAUAACCCACAUAUUAUUUGUUAAAGGGAUAUUUUUAAAAAUAGCAAAAUAAAUUAAAAUAUUUAGAAGCUAUAGAAAAAUUUUGGAUUCUAGCAUUUAUAGUCUUCUAUCAUUGUAGCAUGUCAUUGACUAUAGGGAUAAAAUUUACUAUAAUUUCUAAAUAUUUUGUAAAGUCUACUAUUUUUAAAAAUUCUCUUUUAUUAAAACACUUACUUUAUAAUUUAUUCUAGGAAGGAAAAAAGAAAAAGAAAAACUUAGUCCACUUAUCUAUACCCACAAGAAUAAAUUCUUUGUCAGGAAUAAAAAGUAAACAAACUUUUCAUAGAAAAAUGUGAUUAUCUAUUAUGCUCUAGUGAUACAUCACAUGGCAAAUUUUGGAAAAAUGGUUGAGUUUGAAAAAAAAAACAAAUACAAAUACAAAGUUUUAUAGAAAAAUGUAUGUAGAAGUGAUAUUUAUUUAAUUUCAAGAGUUUAGGAGUCUGGUUAAAUUAUUGAAAUUUUCAAACUCUUUAAAUUCUAAACUUUAUUAUAAUUUAUUGUAAAAUCAUAAUUUUGUUAUUGAUAAAACUAUUGAAAGUUUUAAAACUUUUAAAAUUUUAAAUAAAAUAAAUUUAAAGUUUUUAUUAUUUUUAAUUUUUUUUUUCAGACAAAAAAAAGAAGAAGCUACUUUCAUAUUUCUACCUUUACAGGUUGUAUUACCUUUAAUUUGAAUAAUUAGAUUCCAGUAAAAGUUAUGUAAUUCAAACACAAUAAAUGUGUAUUAACCACACUUUACCAAAUUAUUAAUAAAACAAUUCUAAUGAAAAAAAAUAUGAGCAAAUAAUGUAUUUUUUCUUGUAAUGUCUAAGAUUCCUCAUUGUUACAUUCUUAAAGAAAAAAAAAAUGAUUUUCAUGAUUUCAUGGUUCAAACAUAUCUCACAAAAGAAAUACAUACAAAUAUAUUUAGAUCACAGAUUUACAUUCUAACAAAAAAAAAAAAAAAAAAAAAAAAAAAAUAUAUAUAUAUAUAUAUAUAUAUAUAUAUAUAUAUAUAUAUAUAUAUAAUUACAUAAUUUAAACAUCCAUGAAAGAAUACAAGGAGACAUAUUUAUAUAUAGAAGUAAAUAAAUUCAACAAAAAUGAAAAAUUAAAAGAGAAGCUAAGAAUGAUCAUUUGGUUUUUUUCUUUACAUCUUAGUUUUUGUUAUGACUUAUCACUUUGAAUGGAAGAAAAAAAUAAAAUAUUUAUACUACAAACUUUUAAAGAGUAGGAAAUUGAAAGGUUGGGAGACAGAGAAGAGUUAAUAUUGUUUCCUAUGUUACUUAAGGAAAUAAAAAAAAAAAAAAGUAAUUAAAAAGUUGUUACCUUUCAGCGAGGUUCAAGGACAACCACGUCGUCGAAAGUGGAAAACAAAUUUUUUAUAAAAUUAAUACGAUUUUUCGCAACGUGCGUUAGUCAGCAGUGCGUCGCGUAACGUCGAAUCGUUUCGUUGAAGGUUGAUAAUUUCAAAUGAUCAUUUCUCUUUCCUCGACGUCUUGCAGAAGUGCGUCGCCGAAAGGUUAUCAUACUAAAUUAAGGUUUGAUGUACCACGACAUUGAAGCGACGUGCGUUGCAGAAAAUCUUGACCAAAACGAAUCGUUCGUGGUAAAGCAAAACAAUAUCUUAAUUAGUACACUUGCGCAACGUUUGUUUUCCAUACGUCGCGGAAAGUGGUAUUUAGCAACGUACUAACACGAACAUUGCGAAAAGUUCAGCAACGCUGACGUUACUUUCAGCGACGUCGUUUCUGGCAUCACGAAAGCUUCAUUUUCUUGUAGUGUAUAUGCAUAGCUAAGUUAGGGAUGUAAGAAUUAACUGCAUCUUUACAUGUUUACCCUAUAUUUAUAUGCACUUUCGAUCUUCCUCAAGUGAAUUUUCAUCUUCACAUGCUAAAUAUUGAACUUUUGGAGACAAAAUUUAGAGAAAAAGAAUAACAAACUAAUAGAAGAAAAUACUCAAUUAUAUUGGUAGAAAGAAAUCAAAGAAGCCCUUUAUAUAUAUAGUAAUGAAAAUUGAAAAAAUGUUACAAAAACUUUUGAACUUUCAAGUCUUUAAAUUUGGAUUGUUAAUUAAAAUUUUAGAUGUAAGAUAUUUAAUUUUUAAUUAAUUUCUAAAAUGUAAAUGAAAAACAUUAGUCUUCCAUAAUUAAUUAUAUUAAAAAGAUAUAAUUAAAAAUGAAUUUACCAAAAAACCAAGAAGUGAAUUAAAACACAAAACUCAAUAGUAUAACUAGAACAAAAAAGUUUCUCCAUUCAGACUUUUAUAUACUAUAUUUAUACCUAUAUUAUAUACAUAAGAUACACAAAUAAAAUUUAUAAACAUUAACUUAGAUAAUAAUUAAUUUCCUUAAACUAUUUUUGAUCUUGAUUUACGAAUUUAAUAACAAAUACAACAAUGAAUUUAAUUAUAACUCUUGAACAUAUGAACACAUAAGAGCUCCUUUUAUACCGGUUGGAGGCUUCUUGUAAAAAAAAAAAAAAAAAAAAAAAAAAAAAAAAAAAAAAAAAAAAAAAGGAGAAAUUGAGUUAUACUCAAAGUUGAAAAUGUCAAUGAGGUUUUAAUUUUACAAAAAAUUCCAUAGAGAUACGAAGGAUAUUUCUAAAAAAUUUAUAAAAACAAACAAAAUAAAGGAUUAAAAUUAAGAAUGUACAAUUCCAAUUCCAAUUCCAUUUCCCUUUAUUAUAGCUUGCUUGAACCUUGGGAGAGAGCAUGUUUAACAAGUUCCCUCCUAAGAAUCUUUCCUGCAGGCGAUUUAGGGAUAGCAUUCACAAAAGAAACUCUUCGGAUUUUCUUGUAUGGUGCAACCUACAACCAUAUUAGAAUAGUUCGGGAUAAGUUUGAAAUGACUUUCUAAGUGAAAGUUAAAGUUGAUUUCGAGUUGAAAGGUACCUUUUUUGCAAUGAAAUCCAUGACUUGAGCUUCGUUGAUAUUGCUUCCAAGUUGUCUUACCACGUAAGCUAAUGGAAUUUGUCCCGCGUCUUCAUCAGGAUAGCUGCUCAAGAGGAGUGAAAAUAAUAUCAGAAAAUUUGAGUAAAACUUAUGUUUCGAAGUUGUUAUAAAGUAGUUAAAAUCACAAUCAAACAAGUUUGUUUAUUAAUUCAAAAUCAAAUAUAGAAGAGAGCAAAGAAUACACACGGUAUCACAGCAGCAUCAAGGAUUUCGGGGUGGGAUUGAAGCAAAUGUUCCAAUUCGGCAGGUGGGACCUGGAAUUUGUUUAAAACAAACAAAAGGACUUCCGAUUACUAAAGAUACACUAAGGCAACAAUAAUAACUUAUGGCAUUUUAUGGUCAUAUUCUUAUCUUGUCAAGAACUGGGAGUGAAUAAAUCACCUGAUAAGCCUUGUACUUGAUCAAUUCUUUUAAUCUAUCAACGAUGUAGAGUAAUCCAUCAGAAUCAAAGUAACAAAGGUCACCAGUCUUUAGCCAUCCCUCAGGAUGCAAGGUUUCAGCAGUUGCCCUUUCAUCUCCAACAUAACCUGCAUCAAACACCAUUUCAUAUGUUCAUCACACAAUAAACAACAUCAUGAUUAAUGCCUUGUAGCAAAACAUCCUAUUCUCAAACAGAGCUCUCUAAUGAAGAGAGGAAUGGGGACAAAUUCAGUAUUAUACAAUUAAUAAUUUAUAAUACUU